This 439-nucleotide ribosomal RNA is filed under the name uncultured Sphingomonadaceae bacterium. Its description in RNAcentral is "partial 16S ribosomal RNA". It matches the Rfam family "Bacterial small subunit ribosomal RNA", at positions 338 to 794 of the family's 1533-position model. The record is from RNAcentral. Lineage: Bacteria; Pseudomonadati; Pseudomonadota; Alphaproteobacteria; Sphingomonadales; Sphingomonadaceae.
CCUACGGGAGGCAGCAGUGGGGAAUAUUGGACAAUGGGCGAAAGCCUGAUCCAGCAAUGCCGCGUGAGUGAUGAAGGCCUUAGGGUUGUAAAGCUCUUUUACCCGGGAUGAUAAUGACAGUACCGGGAGAAUAAGCCCCGGCUAACUCCGUGCAAGCAGCCGCGGUAAUACGGAGGGGGCUAGCGUUGUUCGGAAUUACUGGGCGUAAAGCGCACGUAGGCGGCUUUGUAAGUUAGAGGUGAAAGCCUGGGGCUUAACUCCAGAACUGCCUUUAAGACUGCAUCGCUUGAAUCCAGGAGAGGUGAGUGGAAUUCCGAGUGUAGAGGUGAAAUUCGUAGAUAUUCGGAAGAACACCAGUGGCGAGGGCGGCUCACUGGACUGGUAUUGACGCUGAGGUGCGAAAGCGUGGGGAGCAAACAGGAUUAGAUCCCCCUGUAGU